GAUGAACGCUGGCGGCGUGCCUAAUACAUGCAAGUCGAGCGAACGGACGAGAAGCUUGCUUCUCUGAUGUUAGCGGCGGACGGGUGAGUAACACGUGGAUAACCUACCUAUAAGACUGGGAUAACUUCGGGAAACCGGAGCUAAUACCGGAUGAUAUUUUGAACCGCAUGGUUCAAAAGUGAAAGACGGUCUUGCUGUCACUUAUAGAUGGAUCCGCGCUGCAUUAGCUAGUUGGGAAGGUAACGGCUUACCAAGGCAACGAUGCAUAGCCGACCGGAGAGGGUGAUCGGCCACACGGGAACUGAGACACGGUCCAGACUCCUACGGGAGGCAGCAGUAGGGAAUCUUCCGCAAUGGGCGAAAGCCUGACGGAGCAACGCCGCGUGAGGGAUGAAGUUCUUCGGAUCGUAAAACUCUGUUAUUAGGGAAGAACAUAUGUGUAAGUAACUGUGCACAUCUUGACGGUACCUAAUCAGAAAGCCACGGCUAACUACGUG
RNAcentral lists this ribosomal RNA (497 nucleotides) under uncultured bacterium. RNAcentral's name for it is "partial 16S ribosomal RNA". It matches the Rfam family "Bacterial small subunit ribosomal RNA", at positions 28 to 507 of the family's 1533-position model. The record is from RNAcentral.